Molecule: long non-coding RNA, 253 nt
Organism: Herpailurus yagouaroundi (jaguarundi)
Lineage: Eukaryota; Metazoa; Chordata; Mammalia; Carnivora; Felidae
Exons: 3
Source: RefSeq, a predicted model, not a curated record
GAGGCCUGUCUAGGAAAUUCUCCUCCAAGCGAAGCCUGGUGAAGGGUUUUUACAGGAUUGCUGGGCUGCUGGCUUCGCAGAGAUCCUUUCAUUUUUAGCCAGUAUUUUUAAACAUGGAGAGAACAAGCGAUGCAUAACAAUCUGUAAGAUGUGGUCCUCAUCAUUAUGGUCUAAAAUGAACUCCAGGCAUCACAUCCAUCUGCCAAGUAGGAUGAUGGAGAAAAGGGAAGAAGAGACAAAGGACACAUUGAAG